GAGUUUGAUCGUGGCUCAGAUUGAACGCUGGCGGCAUGCUUUACACAUGCAAGUCGAACGGUAACGCGGGGGCAACCCUGGCGACGAGUGGCGAACGGGUGAGUAAUACAUCGGAACGUGUCCUGGAGUGGGGGGAUAGCUCGGCGAAAGCCGGAUUAAUACCGCAUACGCUCUGAGGAGGAAAGCGGGGGACCUUUCGGGCCUCGCGCUGCGGGAGCGGCCGAUGUCGGAUUAGCUAGUUGGUGGGGUAAAGGCCUACCAAGGCGACGAUCCGUAGCUGGUCUGAGAGGAUGAUCAGCCACACUGGGACUGAGACACGGCCCAGACUCCUACGGGAGGCAGCAGU
Molecule: ribosomal RNA, 346 nt
Filed under: uncultured beta proteobacterium
Lineage: Bacteria; Pseudomonadati; Pseudomonadota; Betaproteobacteria
Description: bacterial SSU rRNA
Rfam family: Bacterial small subunit ribosomal RNA
Source: RNAcentral